Molecule: long non-coding RNA, 357 nt
Filed under: Vicia faba (fava bean)
Lineage: Eukaryota; Viridiplantae; Streptophyta; Magnoliopsida; Fabales; Fabaceae
Source: RNAcentral
AUGAGUUGGAUUCUAAAGAACUCCAAUAUGAUCAACACAAUUAUGCAGUAUAGACUCCCAACAUUAAUGGUCCUCCAACUGGAAAAUGGACAACAUGUUUAUUUGGACGACUGUGUACAUAUUUGCCAAGGAUUGCGAGAAGAAUUUCAAAAGUUUGGUGAAGUGAUUCAUGGGGUAGUAAUUGAUCGAGUCUUGAAGGCAUUGAAGGAAUGGAUGGCAAGUGGGAGAGAAUUUGUUACUAGAUUGGUUGGAAGUGCAGUGCCCAACAGUAAAAUCUCAAGGAGGAAGAUAAUGUGUCUUACCGAUGCCAAUAUUGUACACAGAAUACAUUAUGAUAUUAUCGGUCUAAAGAUAUGA